RNAcentral lists this ribosomal RNA (460 nucleotides) under uncultured bacterium. RNAcentral describes it as "partial 16S ribosomal RNA". It matches the Rfam family "Bacterial small subunit ribosomal RNA", at positions 338 to 795 of the family's 1533-position model. The record is from RNAcentral.
CCUACGUGAGGCAGCAGUGAGGAAUAUUGGUCAAUGGGCGGAAGCCUGAACCAGCCAAGUAGCGUGCAGGAUGACGGCCCUACGGGUUGUAAACUGCUUUUAUCCGGGAAUAACGCGCCUUACGUGUAGGGCUUUGCAUGUACCGUAUGAAUAAGGACCGGCUAAUUCCGUGCCAGCAGCCGCGGUAAUACGGAAGGUACGGGCGUUAUCCGGAUUUAUUGGGGUUAAAGGGAGCGUAGGCCGCAUGUCAAGCGUGCUGUGAAAUGUCCGGGCUCCACCCGGGCCUUGCAGCGCGAACUGGCAGGCUUGAGUCCGCGGAAAGCAGGCGGAAUGCGUCGUGUAGCGGUGAAAUGCUUAGAUAUGACGAAGAACCCCGAUUGCGAAGGCAGCUUGCUGCAGCGGAACUGACGCUGAGGCACGAAAGCGCGGGUAUCGAACAGGAUUAGAUACCCGGGUAGUC